GUUAACGCUGGCAGCGUGCAUAACACAUGCAAGUCGAACGGGGCUAUCUGCGAUUACAUCAAGGGUAGUCUAGUGGCAGACGAGUGAGUAACACGUAAGGAAUCUGCCCCCGAGUAGGGCAUAACGCGUCGAAAGAUGCGCUAAUUCCCUAUAUUAUCCCCUGGCGGCAUCGCCGGGGGAUGAAAGGCGUAAGCCACUCGGGGUGGACCUUGCGGCCUAUCAGCUAGUUGGCGGGGUAAUGGCCCACCAAGGCUAUGACGGGUACCCGGCCUGAAAGGGCGAACGGGCACGGAGGCACUGAGACACGGGCCUCACUUCUACGGAAGGCAGCAGUGGGGAAUUUUGGACAAUGGGGGAAACCCUGAUCCAGCAACGCUGCGUGAGGGAUGAAGGUCUUCGGAUCGUAAACCUCUUUUCCAGGGGACGAAAUCCCGCAAGGGUCUGACGGUACCCUGGGAAUAAGCCACGGCUAAAUAUGU
RNAcentral lists this ribosomal RNA (479 nucleotides) under uncultured bacterium. RNAcentral describes it as "bacterial SSU rRNA". It matches the Rfam family "Bacterial small subunit ribosomal RNA", at positions 29 to 506 of the family's 1533-position model. The record is from RNAcentral.